Micropterus dolomieu (smallmouth bass) is the source of this 3528-nucleotide RNA transcript. It is a transcript of the gene named transmembrane protein 119b, with no coding region annotated. The record is from RefSeq and is a predicted model, not a curated record. The transcript has 4 exons. NCBI's taxonomy places the organism in Eukaryota, Metazoa, Chordata, Actinopteri, Centrarchiformes, Centrarchidae.
GUACACUGCAACACCAAAUCUGGCAUCAAACCGACACUCUUCAAAUCCAUUCAUUACUUGGACUUUCUGACUGCAUGGAUUUUGGACAUGUACCCUGAAGUUCCUGAAUUACUGUUUUUUAGCCACACAUAGCUUUAGAUUAGAAGUGUGAUCAGUGUGAAAGAAACAUCCGUUUACAGAACUGAGUACUUCCUGCUACUUUGUAUAAAGUGGUAGUCAGAACAACAAACACACGCCACACAGCAGCACCUGGGCCCUCGUCAGCUUUCCAUCAGUGAGCAGUGCCGUUACAGUCAGCAUGUUACUGCUACGAAGAUGUUCUCAGGGAGAGGCUGAAAUGAGCUGAACUCAGUUUUUAGCAGAUUUGUAUCCUCACAUCCUACCCUCUGCUUCACCAGCAGCAAGAUCUUUUAAACAAACAAUAAUGCAACUCAGUAUGAAGAUAUAUCUGGCUCUGCUAUGGGGAAUAUCUAUCUGGUUUUCUAUAGAGUCCAUGAGUGCCUCCAUCCCAGAAACCAGCAGCGUUAAAUCAACUGCUGAACUCGACAGGACAACAAAGCAGGUGAUCAGUCCACAUGAAGCUCAUGCUGAAACAGAGACGCAGCCAACUCACAAGCCAGCAGAAGUUAAUGCUGCUGAAACAGCGCAGAAAACGUCGACAGCCACAGUGGGAAAGGAAGAGCCAAAUGUCACUUACAGUAGUGACAGCCCAAAUGACAGCACGGUUGAUUUGGUUGCCAUGAACACUGCGGCAGCAACAGCAAGCAGCUCGGGUCCAAGGUGGUUUCCAACCACCACAGCAGUGAUCACAAUUGCAAGUGAAGCACAACCUUCCCACAACACGAUGAUCUCAGAACCUGUAAAACCUACUGAGGAGAAGUUACAUCAACGAUCAAGCACCACUUCUACUGAUAUGACUGCUCCUGUGACAACUCCCGCGACAACUUCUGCAACAACUCCUGCCACAACUAAUGCAACAACUCCUGCGACAACAUCUGCAACAAUUCCUGUGACAACUCCUGCAGCAUCCUUAGCAACAGUGGCCACGUCUUUGCCGCAGUAUACCUCCACCACUAAACCUGAAGUUACAUCCACGUUAUCUUCCACAACCUCUCCUGCUGAUUCAACUCAGGCUCCAGUCUUCAUCCAGAACCUCACCAGUCCAUCAGCUUCUACCACGACCACAAUGACAGCGAAGCCUACCUCUGACUCCACUUCUUUGCCAGUCACAGUGAGUGAGACAUCCACCACCAGCACUGAGCUUUCAUCGACACACCGGCCCGUUUCCGUGACGAGAAGCCACAUCUCCACAUCACAGUUUGCUGACACAGCAGGGUCGAGCUCUACCGCUGAGCUUCCCACAACCUCAUUCUCAACCGAUUCUGCCAUCUCCACCACUGCCGCUAUCUCCUCCAGUACUGCAGGAAUCUUGGUCCCUCGGGUAACCAAGAGGCGGCCAAUCCCAACAACCAAAUCAACUUUGCCUACUACGUCAACACCUUGUGAAGUCCCAAAGAGUCCACCCAGCACUGAGGUCCAGCCCUGCUCCACCUGGAGCGUGAAGAAGCAGUGCCUCAUCGCUAUUGCCUCCCUGGCUGCGUUGGCCACCAUCUUCAUGGUUUCUACCAUUGUCCUCUGUGCAAAGCUGUCAACAAGGAAGUACAAGGUCAAGAAACCUAAGCAGGCCACAGAGAUGAUGUGCAUCUCGGCCCUGCUGCCUGAAAGGAAUUGCACCUACACAAGACAACGCAGUCCAGUGACUAAUGGGGUCCUGGUGAUCCAUGGUGGUGGAGACAGCGAUGAGGAUGUAGGAGACAACCUCACUCUGAGUAGCUUCCUUCCAGAAAAUGACCGUUUUGUUUAGAUGGAAUUAUUUUUAUUGUCACGUACAUGCUUUCAUCAGACUUCGGACUGGACUGGUUUGUCUCAUGUCAGUGAUGUGAAAACAGUUGCUGAUUGGAUCAACUCAUGCUUCCUCUUUUAUGUUGGUGGUUUGGCUUCGCUGCACACCCUAUUCCUGUGGAGGAAGAGACAGAGAAACCACAAAGAGUAACAGUGACUUUCAUUUUCACAUACCACUAAUCGUAUCUGGCAUUUGGUGAGGUCAUGUCGUCAAAUGUGUAUUUUAGGCGAGGGUUUUUGCAUAAUUUUACACUUGAGUCAGGAAGUCAAGAUGAGUGUUCAAAGAUUUUUUUGUGUCUGACAUCCUGAACAGAGCACUGAAGGUAUUUCACUUAGCGACGGGAGACAGGAAGGCUUGUUUUGUCAAAGGAUUACUGUUCUUCACAGACACUGUUCAGUUUAGUGGUAGCAGUGAGGCUUAAUCGCAUGAAUGCUGUCCACUGAUCAAUCAAAAGUCUGUUAUGGCCCAAUAAUUAUUGGUAAGAACUAAGUGACAGCAAGAAGGCUGUGGGUUUGAACGUUGUUAGCUUCUGUGUGCCCUAUGAUGGACUAGGUUAGCCCCCGCAUCCCUGCAAAAGUGGGAUGAGCAGGUAUGGAAGAUGGAUGGAUGAACUAUGUGAUUUGGGACUAACUUAAUAGAAACAAUUUAGUUAAAGUUAGUUAUGUUAAGUUUACAAGCAGUUCCUGAAAGAUAACUACUCCUUUUAAACCUAGGAAAAGAUUAUUUAAAAAAGAGUCUUAGUUAAACUUGUUUUAUAGCAUUUAAUUAGAAUUGCUUAUUUGGCGGAUUACCAGUUGAAAACAUUGAGUGUUUUUGCCUAUAAUUACUGCCAACACCGUGUUAGGAAAUUAAGAUAAGGGAUUACCAAAGUUUUACUUGCUUGUUCCUUCAAACAGACAGCUGUUCACUCUGGCAUUUAAAAUAAGAACAUGAAUUUGAAUUUUGAAUUUGAAUUUAUUUCAGGAUAACCCCUAGAGAUGUAUCAUCUCAUUUUGGAGGGGGUCCUGCAACAUGUAUGUAUGUACAGACACAUAAGUUAACCACACAGUACAUAUACAUAAACAAAUUCAAUACAUAGACAUAUACACAAAACAAUAACUCACGCACCUUACCCCCACAUUUAACACAGCAAACAAAAUAAAGUACAUUGACAAAAUAAUCAGCAGAAUGCAUUGAACAACUAAUAAGUCGUUUAUCAAUAUGCCUUAUGACAAAUGUAACAAAGUCACAUCUCUCAUGGAAAAGUCAAAUAAAGUAAUAAUAAUAAUAAUAAAGUAAAAUCAAGAUAAAGAAAGUCAUGAUUAUGUACAUAUUACUGUAUAUUUUCCACAUAAACCUUUUAUAUGUAAUACCAUUUGUACCCCUAAUACCAAGAAUAUAUAGUUUUAAGAAAAGAAAAAAAGUGAUGAUUUGAAUAAACCAAACAUGGUAACAGAUCUCAAGAAAAGAGAAAGGUUAUUCACGUCUGAAGGGGCCUUAUACUGAAAUGCUCUCCUACCAGCCACAGAAAAUAACCUUGGUACCAUAAAAAAUGUUGGACGUUGGAGGUGUCUAAAGUGGUUUCACCCAUCCUCCAGCACAGGCAAUUCCAGCAGAGACGAUUCUUCUUCCCCAAGUGGACGGUA